UCAGGAGUGACUCAGUGGUAGAGCGCUUGCCUAGCAUGCCAGAGGCCCUGGGUUCCAUCCCCAGCUCCAUAU
RNAcentral lists this transfer RNA (72 nucleotides) under Ictidomys tridecemlineatus (thirteen-lined ground squirrel). RNAcentral's name for it is "Spermophilus tridecemlineatus (thirteen-lined ground squirrel) tRNA". It matches the Rfam family "tRNA". From Rfam's summary of the family: Transfer RNA (tRNA) molecules are approximately 80 nucleotides in length. Their secondary structure includes four short double-helical elements and three loops (D, anti-codon, and T loops). The record is from Rfam by way of RNAcentral. Lineage: Eukaryota; Metazoa; Chordata; Mammalia; Rodentia; Sciuridae.